Molecule: ribosomal RNA, 607 nt
Filed under: uncultured bacterium
Lineage: Bacteria
Description: bacterial SSU rRNA
Rfam family: Bacterial small subunit ribosomal RNA
Source: RNAcentral
CCUACGGGAGGCAGCAGUGAGGAAUAUUGGACAAUGGGCGCAAGCCUGAUCCAGCCAUGCCGCGUGCAGGAAGAAGCAUCUAUGGCGUGUAAACUGCUUUUGUACAGGAAGAAACACUCCCUCGUGAGGGAGCUUGACGGUACUGUAAGAAUAAGGACCGGCUAACUCCGUGCCAGCAGCCGCGGUAAUACGGAGGGUCCGAGCGUUAUCCGGAAUCAUUGGGUUUAAAGGGUCCGUAGGCGGUUUAAUAAGUCAGUGGUGAAAUCUGGUCGCUCAACGAUCAAACGGCCAUUGAUACUGUUAGACUUGAAUUAUAAGGAAGUAACUAGAAUAUGUAGUGUAGCGGUGAAAUGCUUAGAUAUUACAUGGAAUACCAAUUGCGAAGGCAGGUUACUACUUAUGGAUUGACGCUGAUGGACGAAAGCGUGGGGAGCGGAACAGGAUUAGAUACCCUGGUAGUCCACGCCGUAAACGAUGGAUACUAGCUGUUCGGAGCAACCUGAGUGGCUAAGCGAAAGUGAUAAGUAUCCACCUGGGGAGUACGUUCGCAAGAAUUGAAACUUNAAAUGAGUUGNGNGNGAGAGNGCGAGACGACGACGAGGAGAGG